GUGCUGUCAAAUUGGGUCUUAAUUCUGCAUGUGGGGCUGGUUCGAAUUUGGAAUUGGCUUCACGAAUAUCUUCAGUGGGUUUAGAAGUGCCAAAGUAUCGAAAGCAGAAUCCAAAGGGUAUACUGAAGUUGUCUGCAUCAAAAACUUUUUCACCAAAGGAGACGGUGAGCCAUUUCCCUUCUGUUUAUGCAAAUUCUAGGCCACAUGGUUUGCCAGCUCCAAUUUCUCGUCAGAAGGUGAUGGGGCUUGAAUCAAGGGCAGCGCUUAGGUUAACAAAUCAGAUGAUAAUUAAUGAUGAUGAUGUUGAUGAUGAUAAUGAUGCUGAAGAUGC
RNAcentral lists this unclassified non-coding RNA (331 nucleotides) under Hevea brasiliensis (rubber tree). Lineage: Eukaryota; Viridiplantae; Streptophyta; Magnoliopsida; Malpighiales; Euphorbiaceae. The record is from RNAcentral.